Molecule: ribosomal RNA, 331 nt
Filed under: uncultured bacterium
Lineage: Bacteria
Description: bacterial SSU rRNA
Rfam family: Bacterial small subunit ribosomal RNA
Source: RNAcentral
CGUGUAGGCGGGAAUACAAGUCAGAUGUGAAAUACCGAGGCUUAACUUCGGGGCUGCAUCUGAAACUGUAUUUCUUGAGUGCUGGAGAGGAAAGCGGAAUUCCUAGUGUAGCGGUGAAAUGCGUAGAGAUUAGGAGGAACACCAGUGGCGAAGGCGGCUUUCUGGACAGUAACUGACGCUGAGGCGCGAAAGCGUGGGGAGCAAACAGGAUUAGAUACCCUGGUAGUCCACGCUGUAAACGAUGGAUACUAGGUGUAGGAGGUAUCGACCCUUCUGUGCCGGAGUUAACACAAUAAGUAUCCCACCUGGGGAGUACGGCCGCAAGGUUGAA